AACAGCAGCACUUGUUCUGGGAUAUACCGACACUUUACUAUGUGUUGCUAUAUACCCUAGCGACUGCACAUAUAGCGGCACUAUUUUUAGUGUCGGUAUUUUUGCCAGCAGCACUUUAUUUAGGUUUUAGGGACACUAAAAAUUGUCGCUAUAGCUUAGUUUUGUUGUAGUUACAGGACCACUUGCUCUACUACCAUAUGAAACAGUCAAUUACUCCAAAAACUCACGCUAUCAAAAGAACGAUGUUUAAUAUCCU
This 256-nucleotide long non-coding RNA is filed under the name Ananas comosus (pineapple). RNAcentral describes it as "long non-coding RNA (ACOM_LNC032254)". The record is from RNAcentral. Lineage: Eukaryota; Viridiplantae; Streptophyta; Magnoliopsida; Poales; Bromeliaceae.